UUUAAAACAAACGAGUGAGUUUAUAUGUAGAUCCAGUAUCGCUGCAGUUUGCCUUCACAGUUCGUUAGUUUAAAGUGGUGAAAAGGAAGUGAAACUCACAGAUGACAAAGUCCUUCACUGGAUACAGAUGUUACAUUUUUUCAAUAAAAAGUUAUUUACUGCCACAUUUUGAAGCAGAUAUUAAAAAUUAAUUCAAAGGUUAGUUAUUUAAUAUUUUAGCUACAUUCAAAAAUUAGUCAGGUCGCAAUAUGUUGUCUAAUUAUUAGUGAUUGAUGAUGAGUGCCACAGAAGAAGAUUGAUGACUUUAAAUGACAUCAAGUUUGAUGAUGUAGUUUUCUGUGUUAAAGCCUCAUUUCCUCCCAUGUCUGGGCUCCUCUCCUCUGUCUGAUCUCAGUAUCAUGCACACAGUUCAUCCACAGUAGUGUUGACCUCUGUCAUGUCUCAUAAGUGUCUCAUGUUGAGCUGUCUGUCCUCCAGUCAAGUUCAUCUGCUCCUUGUGUGUCUCUGCUCUCCCCUCCAGCUGGCCCCAUGCUCAGGCCCUCAGUCUCUCUGCUUCCCCCCUCCUCUGAGCGGCUCUCUGGGGCCUCGGCCACGCUGGUCUGCCUGCUGAGCGGCUACUCUCCUCAGGGAGCCGUGGUGAGCUGGGAGGUGGACGCUACAGAGGUGACAGAGGGGGUCCUGAGCAGCUCCGAGGAGGAGAAGAGCGGACGCUACAGCAGCAGCAGCACCCUGAGCCUGAGCCAGGAGCGCUGGAUGGAAGGAGAGCUGUUCUCCUGCAGGGUCCUCCAUCAUGGCCACAGCCAGACCCGCUCCCUCCGCAGGAGCCAGUGUGAGGGCUAGAGGGGCUGGCUGAAGCCCAGGACAGCAGCUCUGUGUGUGGGGAGCAGGAGGAACACACCUGCUGCUCUCAUCAAUAGGAGUUUGAAUGUUUGUAGAGGAAACUAAAGCUUUGUGUGGCAGAG
This is a non-coding RNA of Centropristis striata (black sea bass), 962 nucleotides long. The record is from the annotation of a RefSeq genome assembly. Lineage: Eukaryota; Metazoa; Chordata; Actinopteri; Perciformes; Serranidae.